Molecule: long non-coding RNA, 366 nt
Organism: Coregonus clupeaformis (lake whitefish)
Lineage: Eukaryota; Metazoa; Chordata; Actinopteri; Salmoniformes; Salmonidae
Exons: 3
Source: RefSeq, a predicted model, not a curated record
UAUCCACUCUCCAUUUCCCUUCAGCUGUGGCCUUUGUCUCUACUGCUAUGGGCCUGGCCACCUUCAACAUCAGGAUUUUUGAAUAUGUGUGGGGCUUUCACAGGACUGGUGCUUUUCAACAUCUCUGCUAACCUGAUUAAGGUCACUACUUCCUGGGUUACGGUGUUCUCCCUCAUCACAAUGGUGAAUACCAUGGGCCUGGGAGCGUUCCUCAUGUUUGGAGAUGGCAAUUCCGUGGACUUGUGGAAUUUGUCCCAAGUCACACUUGUAUGACCCACACAGAGAUACUGCCAAUAACUUAGUGUGUAUACACUCCCCUGCAUAUUUAUUUGGACAGUGAAGCUAAAACUUGUAAUUUGUCUCUGU